RNAcentral lists this ribosomal RNA (253 nucleotides) under uncultured bacterium. RNAcentral's name for it is "partial 16S ribosomal RNA". It matches the Rfam family "Bacterial small subunit ribosomal RNA", at positions 524 to 776 of the family's 1533-position model. The record is from RNAcentral.
UACGAAGGGGGCUAGCGUUGCUCGGAAUCACUGGGCGUAAAGCGCACGUAGGCGGCUUUUUAAGUCAGGGGUGAAAUCCUGGAGCUCAACUCCAGAACUGCCUUUGAUACUGAGAAGCUUGAGUCCGGGAGAGGUGAGUGGAACUGCGAGUGUAGAGGUGAAAUUCGUAGAUAUUGGGAAGAACACCGGUGGCGAAGGCGGCUCACUGGCUCGUAACUGACGCUCAUGCACGACAGCGUGGGGAUCAAACAGG